GUCUACGGCCAUACCACCCUGAACGCGUCUGAUCUCGGAAGCUAAGCAGGGUCGGGCCUGGUUAGUACUUAGAUGGGAGACCGCCUGGGAAUACCGGGUGCUGUAGGCU
This 109-nucleotide ribosomal RNA is filed under the name Castor canadensis (American beaver). The record is from RNAcentral. Lineage: Eukaryota; Metazoa; Chordata; Mammalia; Rodentia; Castoridae.